RNAcentral lists this long non-coding RNA (1894 nucleotides) under Anas platyrhynchos platyrhynchos (common mallard). Its description in RNAcentral is "lncRNA (ENSAPLG00000028563.1)". Lineage: Eukaryota; Metazoa; Chordata; Aves; Anseriformes; Anatidae. The record is from RNAcentral.
GUAUUUAAAGGCUUUGAUCAAGUCACCUCAUCACCUUCUCUUUGUUAAUCUGGAAAGACUGAACUCCUUGAGACUUUUGCAAUAAGGCAGGAAUUGUGCCUCCGCGUCCCUCGGCUGCUUUGAAAAUCCCAGCCAGAGAGUCUAAGGUUGGGCACCUGAAAACGAGAGGGUAUUUAGAGAACUCACCCCAUUACGUCUUUGUGCUCCUCUCCCCCUUUUGGCACCGGGCUUUGAGAUGAGAGGGCUUGUGCUAGCGACGGUUGGAAAGCUUCUGUUCAUUUUCUCUCCUUUUUUCUCCUGUGAUGGAUGGUAACUCCUCAGAAAUGGCUUUCCCAGGGAAGCACCGGCUCUUUUGAGUGUUCCCCCCCUGGCUGCACUCUGCCCUGUGCCCGUGUGCCUGCCCCCCUGUGCCUGGGGGAGAUGGGGACCUGCUGCUUUCUGCUCGCUUCUCCUUUGCUGCUUGGCCUCUGCAGGCAGGGUGACAGAACUGAAUUAUGGAUGUCACCUCACUGGGUUUUAAUGAAAGCCAUUUCUGGUGUUAGUGCGAGCGUGACCGAUGCGGCACCGUGGGUGCGGCAGCGUCCCCGAGGACGGGGACAGCCCAGGGACAGGAGCAGCGGCGUCGCAGUGGAGACUCGGCGCAGGGCUGGCACCUGCUGCCUGGUGCUGGCUCCCUGCUGCAGCCACCCCACGGUGUGUUUCUGUCUUAUCCUGCCUGCUUUCAUCACCAGCUCCCCAGGACAUCCCGCGUUUCUCUCUCCGUCACUGUACAAUGCCCGGCACAGAUGUUGGCGAGAGCCUUUGGGCUCCCCCAGUAAUGAUACCAACAGUAAGCAAGUUUGCUGUAUAUCUUCAUUGUCUGGAGAUGAAGAAAGUCUGGUGCGUGCGGUUUGAAGUGGAAAAAACAAUCUUUCAUGUUGCAUUCUGCCCGGGCUUGGGAAAAUCUGAGUCCUCGGUGCCUGAGGAUGCAGCACCAGGCUGCAGCCCCUGGGCACGGCCCUGCACCCAUGGGGUGAAGGAUGGGCAGGGCGAGAAGGGUUGAGGAGGGGGAGAGAUGGGAAUGUGAAGUACAGAAGCGUGCACCCUAUUUUCCUGAAUCCUUUUGGCUGUGGAUGGGCAGAGAGUGGGUGCUGAGCGGCAGCUCGGGGAAGGAACAAUAACACCGGUACCCAGGAGUGGCGCCGAGCUGUCCCCAUGCAUUGAGCAUUUUUUCCCCUCCUGCAUCUCCCCAGGACCAUGCCGAGGAGCUGGGUGGUCCCCCAGGUGCUCGCUCCUGGCACUCCAGCGGUGGCACAGCCCUGCCCUGCUGCUUCUGCUCCUCCAAGAGGAAUCGCCACAGCCGUACCGCAACGUUUGCUAUUAAAUAUUUAAUUCGGACUUAACAACUCAAUACAUUUGGUGCCAUCAAAGGGUCUGGGGCUUGCUCCCAGCCUGCUCUGAUUAACAAAGUACCUGGCCGGCAAAGAUCUGCUGAUCCAGUCACCCAGGGCUUUGUUACACGCUGUUCAAUGCCAGUGGAGAGGCAGCAUUAACUAGGAAGCAUCGAUUUCAGCAUUAGCCGGCUUUUACAUUCGAAAGCAGACAAUGCAAGGACCUUCAAUUAUCUUCAAAGCAACUGAAGGGAAGGAAAUUGGUCUUAGAUGUGGUAAAUAGACUCCACAAACUCUACUGAAGCAUGCAAAGAUGUACACAAGGGAAUUACAGAUCCUUGCAUAACUGUUUGUAGUUUAUUCAAAAAUGUGAUUGAAAUUCUAUAGAUUUUGUAUUAGUCCCCUUUUUUGUGGUAAUCUGAUUCCGGGAUUUACUAAUCUGGCUGGGAUUAUUAUUGUAAGAGGAAACCCUAAUUUGCCUUUUUGCAAGGGUUCUGCCUCUGCCCAGGAGUGCCUGGAAAGAG